GCGGAAGGAUCAUUACAGUAUUCUUUUGCCAGCGCUUAAUUGCGCGGCGAAAAACCUUACACACUUGUUUUUCUUAUUUGAAACUAUUGCUUUGGUCUGUCUUAGAAAUAAGUUGGGCCAAAGGUUUACACCAAACUUCAAUAUUUAUAUUGAAUUGUUAUUUUAAUUAUUUGUCAAUUUGUUGAUUAAAUUCAAAAAUCUUCAAAACUUUCAACAACGGAUCUCUUGGUUCUCGCAUCGAUGAAGAACGCAGCGAAAUGCGAUAAGUAAUAUGAAUUGCAGAUUUUCGUGAAUCAUCGAAUCUUUGAACGCACAUUGCGCCCUUUGGUAUUCCAAAGGGCAUGCCUGUUUGAGCGUCAUUUCUCUCUCAAAUCUUCGGAUUUGGUUUUGAGUGAUACUCUUAGUCAGACUAAGCGUUUGCUUGAAAUGUAUUGGCAUGAGUGGUACUAGAUAGUGCUGAACUGUUUCAAUGUAUUAGGUUUAUCCAACUCGUUGACCAGUAAAGUAUUUGUUUAUUACACAGGCUCGGCCUUACAACAACAA
RNAcentral lists this ribosomal RNA (543 nucleotides) under [Candida] santamariae var. santamariae. RNAcentral's name for it is "eukaryotic LSU rRNA". The stretch from base 206 to 359 matches the Rfam family "5.8S ribosomal RNA". Lineage: Eukaryota; Fungi; Ascomycota; Pichiomycetes; Serinales; Debaryomycetaceae. The record is from RNAcentral.